GACGUAGGGGGCGAGCGUUGUCCGGAUUUAUUGGGCGUAAAGCGCGCGUAGGCGGUCCGGUAAGUCGGGGGUGAAAAUCCGGGGCUCAACCCCGGACCUGCAUUCGAUACUGCCGGGCUGGAGGCAGGUAGGGGAGAGUGGAAUUCCUGGUGUAGCGGUGAAAUGCGCAGAUAUCAGGAGGAACACCGGUGGCGAAGGCGGGUCUCUGGGCCGAUACUGACGCUGAGGAGCGAAAGCGUGGGGAGCGAACAGG
RNAcentral lists this ribosomal RNA (253 nucleotides) under uncultured bacterium. Its description in RNAcentral is "partial 16S ribosomal RNA". It matches the Rfam family "Bacterial small subunit ribosomal RNA", at positions 524 to 776 of the family's 1533-position model. The record is from RNAcentral.